Daphnia pulex (common water flea) is the source of this 1597-nucleotide long non-coding RNA. RefSeq lists it as uncharacterized. The transcript has 10 exons. Lineage: Eukaryota; Metazoa; Arthropoda; Branchiopoda; Diplostraca; Daphniidae. The record is from RefSeq and is a predicted model, not a curated record.
UUUUCUUUGGGUCUCGUUCUUUUCAUCGGAGACGCUGUCAGUGAAGGUUCGGUGAAGUCUUACAGGAAACUCUCUCACCUGACAUUUUUCGGCUCAUCAAUGCCCGAUGAAGAUCAUGAAGUCCAAGCUUCUUCAUAGCAUUAUGUGUACUUGAUACUGCCGUGGAAUUAAGGUUUUCAUGGACGGUUUGAUUGAGCUAUUUUGCUGUGGCUGUUUGGGGUGCAGUGGUUCUCCAGUAGAGAUGCGUUGGAAUGGAGCUUGUGCAGAUUUGUUGUUUAAUGAGUGUGUCCACCAGGGGGCAAGUUUCUGGUUUUAGCAAAUUGGCAACAUGGCAAGCUUAUGCCGCUGACGUCAUUUCUGUUACGGAUGCUGUGCUGUCAGUUACUGUGUUCGUGGUCAGUCAAUCAGUCAACUUUAACAUUGUUCUUCACAAAUAUCCUCAAGGUAUAUUAUACUAUAUUUCCAUCUUGCCACUUGUAGAUUCAUUAUCAAAAUUUGAAUGCUGAGGUUUUUAAAAACAGUGCGAGAACUUAAAGUUAAUUCCUUCAUUCUUUGGGUCUUGCCUGUGGUACACAUCUGUUAUUGUCAUUGGAAGGCUUUUCCCCGUAGGUUUGGUUGGCUAUUUGUUGUAUGGAUUAAAGGGUUCGUGAAGUGAGCUUUUUCAAGGCAGUCCACUUCGUUUGAUUUGUUGCGGCCAGCUGGUUAACGGUGUGGUGAGCUAUUGUAUUAAGACCGUGUGCUGUUGUGAAGAGCUUCUGCAUGCAGGCUGUGGUGCUGGUGGGGGAAGUGCUGCAUGCUGUCAACUGAGUGUAGUGCUAGCUUUAAAUUUGAUGAACUCACUGCUGUAACAAUUGAGUGUAAGAAUCAUUCAUUUUAUUAAUGUUUCCAAAGUCAGUUUGGGUUUAUUUUGGUGGCUUUAUUUGGUCUGCAGUUCAUGUUUGGGUGGUUUUGUUGCAGCCAGUUGUUGAAAUGGAGUUCCAUGUCAAAUUGAGCUGCAGGUUUUGGAAGCUAUCUACCUUGCUGGUGUCAUCCUGAAGUGGAACAGAAAUGCAGUCGUCUUGGCAUCUUGCAAUGGACUCAUGACGAUCUGAUGUAACUGCCUUGGUGAUAAUGAUGAUCAACCUGCUGUAUGCAGUCCAUGCUGCUGGUGUUCUCCAGAAAUAUUGAAGCAAGACUUGAAACAAAGCUGCAGGAAUAUUUGUAGGAAUGGAUUCUGAAAAUGUUCAGCGGUUUCGUACGCUGAUAUCUGUUCAAGAUUUUAUCCUGAAUUGCGCUGAAGUCCUUGCAGUAACUGAUUCCGGUACCAUCCUGAUGUUGCAGUGCCGAUGAAAUAUGAUUUGAUAAAAUUUAUCUGUAUUUGUGUUACAUCAUCUUUAUGUGGUAGAAGAUAUUGAUGAUCUUUACUUUUCAGAAUGAUGUGUUGCAACAAAAGUUUUAACUGUGGUAAUCCUAGAUGUUGUAACCACCUCAACCCUGAUUAGGUCGUAACGUAUUGUUUGUGUAUCAAAGUCAAACCUGCUAUCUUUAUUUUACUUGUAAACUUACUAUCGAAAUCUUUUUUUACAUAAUGUUAUGUUACAAUAAAUGAAAAAAAAUA